AUUGAACGCUGGCGGCAGGCCUAACACAUGCAAGUCGAACGAGCGGCGGACGGGUGAGUAAUGUCUGGGGACUGCCCGAUAGAGGGGGAUAACUACUGGAAACGGUGGCUAAUACCGCAUACGAUCGGAUAACCCAUAUGGGAUUAGCUAGUAGGUGGGGUAAAGGCUCACCUAGGCGACGAUCUCUAGCUGGUCUGAGAGGAUGAUCAGCCACUGUGGGACUGAGAUACGGCCCAGACUCCUACGGAGGCAACAUUGGGGAAUAUUGCACAAUGGGCGCAAGCCUGAUGCAGCCAUUCGGCGUGUACGAAGAAGGCCUUAGCGGUGUAAAGGACGUUCAGUGGGGCGGCGUUACCCGCAGAAGAAGCACCGGCUAACUCCGUGCCAGCCGCCGCGGUAAUUC
This 403-nucleotide ribosomal RNA is filed under the name uncultured bacterium. RNAcentral's name for it is "partial 16S ribosomal RNA". It matches the Rfam family "Bacterial small subunit ribosomal RNA", at positions 30 to 526 of the family's 1533-position model. The record is from RNAcentral.